GACGAACGCUGGCGGCGUGCCUAAUACAUGCAAGUAGAACGCACAGUUUAUACCGUAGCUUGCUACACCAUAGACUGUGAGUUGCGAACGGGUGAGUAACGCGUAGGUAACCUGCCUGGUAGCGGGGGAUAACUAUUGGAAACGAUAGCUAAUACCGCAUAAUAUUGAUUAUUGCAUGAUGAUUGAUUGAAAGAUGCUAUUGCAUCACUACCAGAUGGACCUGCGUUGGAUUAGCUAGUAGGUGAGGUAACGGCUCACCUAGGCGACGAUACAUAGCCGACCUGAGAGGGUGAACGGCCGACCUUGGACUGAAACACGGCCCAGACUUCUACAGGAGGCAGCAGGAGGGGAACUUCGGCAAUGGACGAAAGUCUGACCAAACAACGCCGGGUGAGUGAAGGAAGGUUUCGGGUCGUAAAACUCUGUUUUAAGGGAAGAACGAGUGUGAGGUUGAAAAGUUCACACUGUGACGGUAGCUUAACAGAAAGGAACGGCUAACUACGUG
This 505-nucleotide ribosomal RNA is filed under the name uncultured bacterium. RNAcentral's name for it is "partial 16S ribosomal RNA". It matches the Rfam family "Bacterial small subunit ribosomal RNA", at positions 28 to 507 of the family's 1533-position model. The record is from RNAcentral.